ACCAGGAUGGCCGAGUGGUUAAGGCGUUGGACUUAAGUUCCAAUGUAGUAUACUCCUGGUA
Molecule: transfer RNA, 61 nt
Filed under: Nematostella vectensis (starlet sea anemone)
Lineage: Eukaryota; Metazoa; Cnidaria; Anthozoa; Actiniaria; Edwardsiidae
Rfam family: tRNA
About the family: Transfer RNA (tRNA) molecules are approximately 80 nucleotides in length. Their secondary structure includes four short double-helical elements and three loops (D, anti-codon, and T loops).
Source: Rfam by way of RNAcentral